RNAcentral lists this ribosomal RNA (504 nucleotides) under uncultured bacterium. RNAcentral's name for it is "partial 16S ribosomal RNA". It matches the Rfam family "Bacterial small subunit ribosomal RNA", at positions 30 to 523 of the family's 1533-position model. The record is from RNAcentral.
AUUGAACGCUGGCGGCAGGCCUAACACAUGCAAGUCGGACGGUAGCACAGAGAGCUUGCUCUCGGGUGACGAGUGGCGGACGGGUGAGUAAUGUCUGGGGAUCUGCCCGAUAGAGGGGGAUAACCACUGGAAACGGUGGCUAAUACCGCAUAACGUCGCAAGACCAAAGAGGGGGACCUUCGGGCCUCUCACUAUCGGAUGAACCCAGAUGGGAUUAGCUAGUAGGCGGGCUAACGGCCCCCCUAGGCGACGAUCCCUAGCUGGUCUGAUAGGAUGACCAGCCACCCUGGAACUGAGACACGGUCCAGACUCCUACGGGAGGCAGCAGUGGGGAAUAUUGCACAAUGGGCGCAAUCCUGAUGCAGCCAUGCCGCGUGUAUGAAGAAGGCCUUCGGGUUGUAAAGUACUUUCAGCGGGGAGGAAGGCGAUGUGGUUAAUAACCGUAUCGAUUGACGUUACCCGCAGAAGAAGCACCGGCUAACUCCGUGCCAGCCGCCGCGGUAA